GACGAACGCUGGCGGCGUGCUUAACACAUGCAAGUCGAACGGAAAGACCCUGCUUUUGUGGGGUGCUCGAGUGGCGAACGGGUGAGUAACACGUGAGUAACCUGCCCUUGACUUUGGGAUAACUUCAGGAAACUGGGGCUAAUACCGGAUAGGAGCUCCUGCUGCAUGGUGGGGGUUGGAAAGUUUCGGCGGUUGGGGAUGGACUCGCGGCUUAUCAGCUUGUUGGUUGGGUAGUGGCUUACCAAGGCUUUGACGGGUAGCCGGCCUGAGAGGGUGACCGGCCACAUCGGGACUGAGAUACGGCCCAGACUCCUACGGGAGGCAGCAGUGGGGAAUAUUGCACAAUGGGCGGAAGCCUGAUGCAGCAACGCCGCGUGCGGGAUGACGGCCUUCGGGUUGUAAACCGCUUUCGCCUGUGACGAAGCGUGAGUGACGGUAAUGGGUAAAGAAGCACCGGCUAACUACGUG
RNAcentral lists this ribosomal RNA (468 nucleotides) under uncultured bacterium. Its description in RNAcentral is "partial 16S ribosomal RNA". It matches the Rfam family "Bacterial small subunit ribosomal RNA", at positions 28 to 507 of the family's 1533-position model. The record is from RNAcentral.